This 374-nucleotide ribosomal RNA is filed under the name uncultured bacterium. RNAcentral describes it as "bacterial SSU rRNA". It matches the Rfam family "Bacterial small subunit ribosomal RNA", at positions 28 to 404 of the family's 1533-position model. The record is from RNAcentral.
GACGAACGCUGGCGGCGUGCUUAACACAUGCAAGUCGAGCGGUAAGGCCCUUUCGGGGGUACACGAGCGGCGAACGGGUGAGUAACACGUGGGUGACCUGCCCUCAGCUCUGGGAUAAGCCUGGGAAACUGGGUCUAAUACUGGAUAUGACUCCACGGUGCAUGUCGUGGGGUGGAAAGCCUUGUGCGGCUGAGGAUGGGCCCGCGGCCUAUCAGCUUGUUGGUGGGGNGAUGGCCUACCAAGGCGACGACGGUAGCCGGCCUGAGAGGGCGACCGGCCACACUGGGACUGAGACACGGCCCAGACUCCUACGGGAGGCAGCAGUGGGGAAUCUUGCGCAAUGGGCGAAAGCCUGACGCAGCGACGCCGCGUGA